This 23-nucleotide transfer RNA is filed under the name Syneilesis subglabrata. RNAcentral describes it as "partial tRNA-Cys". Lineage: Eukaryota; Viridiplantae; Streptophyta; Magnoliopsida; Asterales; Asteraceae. The record is from RNAcentral.
CAGUUCAAAUCCGGGUGCCGCCU